GUUCUGGCUAUAGGCAGCACAUAUACUAAAAAUUGGAACGAUACAAAGAAGAUUAGCAUGGCCCCUGUGGAAGGAUGACACGCAAAUUCGUGAAGGUAUUAGCUCUUCU
This is a small nuclear RNA of Myodes glareolus (Bank vole), 109 nucleotides long. NCBI's taxonomy places the organism in Eukaryota, Metazoa, Chordata, Mammalia, Rodentia, Cricetidae. The record is from RefSeq and is a predicted model, not a curated record.